GAUGAAGAACGUAGCGAAAUGCGAUACUUGGUGUGAAUUGCAGAAUCCCGUGAACCAUCGAGUCUUUGAACGCAAGUUGCGCCCGAAGCCAUUAGGCCGAGGGCACGCCUGCCUGGGCGUCACACGUCGUUGCCCCCCCAUCUACUCCUUCGGGAUUGCGGGGGGCGGAUGAUGGCCUCCCGUGCGCCUCGUCGCGCGGUUGGCAUAAAUACCAAGUCCUCGGCGACGCACGCCACGACAAUCGGUGGUUGCGAAACCUCGGUUGCCCGUCGUGUGCGGUCGUCGCGCAUCGAGGGCUCGAAAAAUUUGCCGGGCUCCGGCUCGGCUUUCAACGCGACCCCAGGUCAGGCGGGGUUACCCGCUGAAUUUAAGCAUAUCAAUAAGCGGAGGA
This 391-nucleotide unclassified non-coding RNA is filed under the name soil metagenome. Its description in RNAcentral is "partial contains 5.8S ribosomal RNA, internal transcribed spacer 2, and large subunit ribosomal RNA". The stretch from base 1 to 122 matches the Rfam family "5.8S ribosomal RNA", at positions 35 to 154 of the family's 154-position model. The record is from RNAcentral.